Molecule: non-coding RNA, 26 nt
Filed under: Homo sapiens (human)
Lineage: Eukaryota; Metazoa; Chordata; Mammalia; Primates; Hominidae
Source: RNAcentral
UGCUGCUUUAUCGACUGAAAUUGAUC